CAUCUUCUUGACCAGAUGUUUGUGGAUAAUAAUAGAUAAAAAUAGGAUGAAGGUCAAAUUUAAAAUCUCCGUGGUGGAAAUUAAGUUGUUUCAUAGUAACUUGCAUAGUGACUUUGCAUGAUUCAUACGUGAAUAGUAAAUUUGCAUAGUAACUUUGCAUAGUAAUUUGCAUAGUACUUUUAUAUACGUACUAACUAAUUCUGCAUAGUACCCUACGCUAAUUAAGCCUCUUCCACCUAUACCCAAAAAAUUCCCAGAAAAUUUUCAAAAAAUUCUUAUAAAUUCACCUUUCUUCCUCUUACUCUCAGUUUUUCUGAAAAACUAAAAUUAGGGGUCAAAGCUUUUCCCCUAUAUUUAAGUCACUAU
Molecule: long non-coding RNA, 366 nt
Filed under: Ananas comosus (pineapple)
Lineage: Eukaryota; Viridiplantae; Streptophyta; Magnoliopsida; Poales; Bromeliaceae
Description: long non-coding RNA (ACOM_LNC022265)
Source: RNAcentral